RNAcentral lists this ribosomal RNA (841 nucleotides) under Lacticaseibacillus casei. RNAcentral's name for it is "bacterial SSU rRNA". It matches the Rfam family "Bacterial small subunit ribosomal RNA", at positions 56 to 860 of the family's 1533-position model. The record is from RNAcentral. Lineage: Bacteria; Bacillati; Bacillota; Bacilli; Lactobacillales; Lactobacillaceae.
UGCAAGUCGAACGAGUUCUCGUUGAUGAUCGGUGCUUGCACCGAGAUUCAACAUGGAACGAGUGGCGGACGGGUGAGUAACACGUGGGUAACCUGCCCUUAAGUGGGGGAUAACAUUUGGAAACAGAUGCUAAUACCGCAUAGAUCCAAGAACCGCAUGGUUCUUGGCUGAAAGAUGGCGUAAGCUAUCGCUUUUGGAUGGACCCGCGGCGUAUUAGCUAGUUGGUGAGGUAAUGGCUCACCAAGGCGAUGAUACGUAGCCGAACUGAGAGGUUGAUCGGCCACAUUGGGACUGAGACACGGCCCAAACUCCUACGGGAGGCAGCAGUAGGGAAUCUUCCACAAUGGACGCAAGUCUGAUGGAGCAACGCCGCGUGAGUGAAGAAGGCUUUCGGGUCGUAAAACUCUGUUGUUGGAGAAGAAUGGUCGGCAGAGUAACUGUUGUCGGCGUGACGGUAUCCAACCAGAAAGCCACGGCUAACUACGUGCCAGCAGCCGCGGUAAUACGUAGGUGGCAAGCGUUAUCCGGAUUUAUUGGGCGUAAAGCGAGCGCAGGCGGUUUUUUAAGUCUGAUGUGAAAGCCCUCGGCUUAACCGAGGAAGCGCAUCGGAAACUGGGAAACUUGAGUGCAGAAGAGGACAGUGGAACUCCAUGUGUAGCGGUGAAAUGCGUAGAUAUAUGGAAGAACACCAGUGGCGAAGGCGGCUGUCUGGUCUGUAACUGACGCUGAGGCUCGAAAGCAUGGGUAGCGAACAGGAUUAGAUACCCUGGUAGUCCAUGCCGUAAACGAUGAAUGCUAGGUGUUGGAGGGUUUCCGCCCUUCAGUGCCGCAGCUAACGCAU